CAGCAUUUUUCCCUGGGUGCUUUUCUACGGGUUUUGUUUUCAUCGCUUCUGCCGUGCUUCUCACUGUCCUGAUUUCUGCCACUGUCUCUCCUGGUGUCCCAUCCUGUUCAGCACGCUGCCCUCUUGCAAGCGUUCUGUUUUGGAUUAAAAGUGGACUGUUGCCCUGUGACAGCAGCACUUACCAACUGACGAUGGUGCAGCCACUGCUGUGGGUACUGCUUCACGGAGACCUGAACUUGCGAGCGAUGGCUCUGCUGAUCCUAAGCAUUGUUUUCUUCCUGGGGAACUUUCAAGUGUCUGGACAAAGAGCUGAAGACAGUGCAGAAGUGAUUGAUUCUCACGUGCUGGGGGACAGAAUGUCCCAGGAUGUGGUAACCAUUUUCUCCCGACACGAAUGCCAUUAACAUCUCAGAAGAAAACCUAAAUGCCACUCACAGUUGCUUAUUUUUACUUGACGUUAAGUUGAUAUUCAACUCGUGUGGAAAGCAGCUUUGGAUCUCUCGUCCUUCCUAUGUUCUGUUUCGAAUGAUAGUAAUUGUUUUACAAAAUUACAAUUUGGAAAACUAUGAUAAACCUACAUGUGGCUUUCUUUGUAUGUACCAAGCAGGGGGCUUAUUGAGCUUGAAUCUGUAAAUUUAUGGCUCAUCAAAUUUGAAAAAUGUCAGCCAUUAUUCCCUCCACUGUCUUUUGUUGUCUCCUUUUGGGAUUCAAGUACACACGUGUAACCUUUCAUAGCCUCACACUCACUGGUCACUGAGGCUAUUCGUGGAUUUUUUAAAAGUGUUUUCCCUGUUGUUUUAAAAUAGGGUACCAUUGUCUACAGAGGCCAUGACUUCCCACCCACACGGGCUCUGACAGCUGAGCACGGAAGCUCACAGCUCUUAGGCUUUUCAUCCCGGCCACCGGCAGCCAGAUUUCUGUCAUCAAGUCAGGUCCCUGUGAUGGGAGCUUAAGUCUUCUGAGUGUGAGCUCAUGAGGACCACUUAUCUCAGAGCCUGUCACGGGUAGGUGGAGACGGUGACCUUCAACGCGGACAUGGGACUCCAGAAAAUAACGGCAUUUCCUACCUGUUUCAACACCUAUAAGGGGCAGAACUUGACGUGUCCGUUCUGUCCAGCUGUCAGCUUCUGUACUGACAGAGGCCUGUCCUGUCGGUACCCACUGGACAUGACUGUCCAAUGGCUGUUUCAGUGGCAGGCGCUUCCUACCCUUCAGAGCCCGUGAUGUCCAAGGACAUAUCUACCUGUCGGCAGAAGUCAUGGCCACCAAUGAGACCAACUUGAUGUGAAGACAAGGAUGUAAAAAUUUUCUGUUUUCAAAAUUGAGACCAAAAACAAGUUAUGUUUCUAAUUCAGGGGAAGUAUUGUCUACUGUUGCUCCAUUUCCAAACGUGGCAUUUUAGUUAAAAGGGCUAUUUUGUGUUAAACGUUCUGCUCUUUCGAAGGUCAGUGCAUGUGUCUCAGAGCUUUCCAAAAAUGGUCCCCUGGGGAGGAGUGCGUGUCAUGCCCAUAGUGGGAGCCACCCCACAGCCUUUGCAGCCUCACGGAGACCACUUCCCCUGGCCGCAGAGAACAGAACCAGCCCUCUGAACCACCUGUCCCACAACAGGGCUGAGACUGGCUGCCGUGAUAUACCGAAGUCCCGUACUGUUCACCAACCAGUAUCUCAGACACUACCCUAGAGCUCACCCUGGUGACAUCAUCUUGCCUGGAUCACAUCUGCCAAGACGCAUGUCCCAGGUCCAGGGUUAGGACUGCACCUAUUUGGGGGACACAUUUCGGCCAUAACACAGAGUAGAAGACUCCGGAGUGGCCUUUGAUUCACCUGUGCUGCGUGUGUGUCACUCGUCCAUUCCUGCCACAGCCAGUGGUGCCGCUGUGUUCACCCCUUCAGUCACCGAAGGACACGGAAUACUCCCAGAUGUGGGAGAUGAUGUCGUAUGGAACUAAUCACACAGUGUGACCUUCUGCAUCUGGCGUCUUCCACUUAGGACGAUGUUCCAGGACUCACCCAGGCUGUGGCGCGUCUGAGCUUCGUUCUUCUCUGCAGCUGAGUCACCCCCGUUGUGCAGACAGAUCGUAUUUGGUGACCACUCACCUGCUGCUGGGCACUGGGUUGGUUCCACUUUUGGCGGUUGUGAACGGGGUGCUGUGAACCUCCCUGGAAAGCUUCUCUGGACGUGUUUUCAUUUUGGGCUGC
This is a long non-coding RNA of Rhinolophus ferrumequinum (greater horseshoe bat), 2199 nucleotides long. RefSeq lists it as uncharacterized. Lineage: Eukaryota; Metazoa; Chordata; Mammalia; Chiroptera; Rhinolophidae. The transcript has 4 exons. The record is from RefSeq and is a predicted model, not a curated record.